RNAcentral lists this unclassified non-coding RNA (312 nucleotides) under plant metagenome. RNAcentral describes it as "partial contains 5.8S ribosomal RNA, internal transcribed spacer 2, and large subunit ribosomal RNA". The stretch from base 1 to 105 matches the Rfam family "5.8S ribosomal RNA", at positions 50 to 154 of the family's 154-position model. The record is from RNAcentral.
GAAAUGCGAUAAGUAAUGUGAAUUGCAGAAUUCCGUGAAUCAUCGAAUCUUUGAACGCACAUUGCGCCCUCUGGCAUUCCGGGGGGCAUGCCUGUCCGAGCGUCAUUACGCACCCUCAAGCCCGGCUUGUGUGAUGGGCCCCGGCGUCUCGUUCGCGAGACGGACCCGAAAGGCAGCGGCGGCGUCGACCCGAUGAGCCCGAGCGUAUGGGGACUUCUGUCACACGUUCGCGGUGCGGACCGGCGCCUGCUUGACUUUUCUGAUUAUCCAGGUUGACCUCGGAUCAGGUAGGGAUACCCGCUGAACUUAAGC